AAAGUCGUAACAAGGUUUCCGUAGGUGAACCUGCGGAAGGAUCAUUACCGUGAAGCGGCCGGGUUCGCCCGCGCCCGCUCCCAAAACCGUGUCUACCAGCCAGUUGCUUUGACGGGACGUCGGGCUCAGGCCUGCCGGUACCGGCCCGUCAGUGGAGCGCCCCCCCAAACCUAGUGUCACACGCAGUCCGAGACGGCGAGAAACAAACAAAACUUUCAACAACGGAUCUCUUGGUUCCG
RNAcentral lists this unclassified non-coding RNA (239 nucleotides) under Ascomycota sp. RNAcentral describes it as "partial contains small subunit ribosomal RNA, internal transcribed spacer 1, and 5.8S ribosomal RNA". The stretch from base 1 to 47 matches the Rfam family "Eukaryotic small subunit ribosomal RNA", at positions 1785 to 1831 of the family's 1831-position model. Lineage: Eukaryota; Fungi; Ascomycota. The record is from RNAcentral.